UUUGUAUAAGUGCGAUGUGGGGACGGAGAAGGUUACCUCAGCCAACGGUUGGAAGAGUUGGUUCAAGCGUGUAGGUGUGUGGCUUAGGCAAAUCCGGGCUGCUUUAACACUGAGGCGUGAUGACGAGUCUACUUGUAGACGAAGUGAGCGAUACCCUGCUUCCAAGAAAAGCCACUAAGCUUCAGCUUAUAUUGAACCGUACCGCAAACCGACACAGGUGGGUAGGAUGAGAAUUCUAAGGUGCUUGAGAGAACUCGGGAGAAGGAACUCGGCAAAUUGACACCGUAACUUCGGGAGAAGGUGUGCCUCUAGUAGGUGAAGGUGUACAACCGGAGCCCAAUGAGGCCGCAGAGAAAUGAGGGCUGCGACUGUUUAUCAAAAACACAGCACUGUGCUAACACGAAAGUGGAUGUAUACGGUGUGACGCCUGCCCGGUGCUGGAAGAUUAAAUGAUGGGGUGCAAGCUCUUGAUUGAAGUCCCAGUAAACGGCGGCCGUAACAAUAACGGUCCUAAGGUAGCGAAAUUCCUUGUCGGGUAAGUUCCGACCCGCACGAAUGGCGUAACGAUGGCCCUACUGUCUCCUCCCGAGACUCAGCGAAGUUGAAGUGUUUGUGAAGAUGCAAUCUCCCCGCUGCUAGACGGAAAGACCCCGUGAACCUUUACUGUAGCUUUGCAUUGGACUUUGAAGUGGUUUGUGUAGGAUAGGUGGGAGGCUUUGAAGCGUGGACGCUAGUUCGCGUGGAGCCGUCCUUGAAAUACCACCCUGACCCCUUUGAGGUUCUAACCUUGGUCCGUUAUCCGGAUCGGGGACCGUGCAUGGUAGGCAGUUUGACUGGGGCGGUCUCCUCCCAAAUUGUAACGGAGGAGCUCGAAGGUCGCCUAGGUACGGUCGGACAUCGUACUGAUAGUGUAAUGGCAAAAGGCGGCUUAACUGCGAGACCGACAAGUCGAGCAGGUGCGAAAGCAGGACAUAGUGAUCCGGUGGUUCUGAAUGGAAGGGCCAUCGCUCAACGGAUAAAAGGUACUCCGGGGAUAACAGGCUGAUUCCGCCCAAGAGUUCACAUCGACGGCGGAGUUUGGCACCUCGAUGUCGGCUCAUCACAUCCUGGGGCUGUAGCCGGUCCCAAGGGUAUGGCUGUUCGCCAUUUAAAGUGGUACGUGAGCUGGGUUCAAAACGUCGUGAGACAGUUUGGUCCCUAUCUGCAGUGGGCGUUGGAAGUUUGAGGGGGGCUGCUCCUAGUACGAGAGGACCGGAGUGGACUGACCUCUGGUACCGGUUGUCACGCCAGUGGCAUUGCCGGGUAGCUAAGUCGGGAAAAGAUAAGCGCUGAAAGCAUCUAAGCGCGAAACUUGCCUCAAGAUGUGACUUCCCUAGGUCUUUAAGACCUCUAAAGGAUCGUUCGAGACCAGGACGUUGAUAGGUCGGGUGUGGAAGCGCAGUAAUGCGUUAAGCUAACCGAUACUAAUUGCCCGUGAGGCUUGAUUC
RNAcentral lists this ribosomal RNA (1487 nucleotides) under metagenome. RNAcentral describes it as "bacterial LSU rRNA". It matches the Rfam family "Bacterial large subunit ribosomal RNA", at positions 1445 to 2925 of the family's 2925-position model. The record is from RNAcentral.